Molecule: transfer RNA, 68 nt
Filed under: Dipodomys ordii (Ord's kangaroo rat)
Lineage: Eukaryota; Metazoa; Chordata; Mammalia; Rodentia; Heteromyidae
Rfam family: tRNA
About the family: Transfer RNA (tRNA) molecules are approximately 80 nucleotides in length. Their secondary structure includes four short double-helical elements and three loops (D, anti-codon, and T loops). Further hydrogen bonds mediate the characteristic L-shaped molecular structure. tRNAs have two regions of fundamental functional importance: the anti-codon, which is responsible for specific mRNA codon recognition, and the 3' end, to which the tRNAs corresponding amino acid is attached (by aminoacyl-tRNA synthetases). tRNAs cope with the degeneracy of the genetic code in two manners: having more than one tRNA (with a specific anti-codon) for a particular amino acid; and 'wobble' base-pairing, i.e. permitting non-standard base-pairing at the 3rd anti-codon position.
Source: Rfam by way of RNAcentral
GGUUGGCUCAGGGAUAGAGCACGUGCCUAGUGAGCACGAGGCCCUGAGUUCAACCCUUAGUACCACCA